ACAGUGUAUCUAAACAAGUUGGCUGCUGGAUCAAUCUCUGCCAUGGAUUUUGUACCAUUUCUUUUAGUCUUUUUUCUGGGAAAAAAAAAAAAAAAAAAAAAAAUUGUGUUGGCAAUAUAUUAAUUCUGAACUAGUGUAUGAAAUAGCUGAAAGAAAUGUAUUCAUUUUAUGAAGAAGCCCAUAAUAAAUUGAUAAAAGCUUAUCUUUGCUCUGGGUUCAGGAAAAGAACUGCACGUGGCUGCCCGGUUCACUUUUGAUAAUGGGAAGUAAAGAACCAUCCCAAAAGACAAAUCUCAGGAAGCAGAUGAGAGGACCAAGCACACUCUACAGAUUGAGCCUCAGUGCCUCUGGGAUUUUAACAUGCGCAGCAAAGUUAAUAGAAGGACGUCUGAAAGAGGGAGAGUCACAGGCUGCCUCCAUGACCUGGACUAUCAAAGAACUGGAGAUCCCCAAAGGGACAAUCUCUCUACAGAUUUGGAGGUUGGAGCCUGGAUUUUCUUCAGUCUUGACUUUCACAUACCUCUGUGACUCCAUUAGCUGCCAAAAUUUCAUUCCCACCAGGAGGAUUCAUAUAAACUGCAGGCUGUCCAGGCUGCCAAAUUCUGGGACAAAUUGUUCCCUUCAGAGAACUUUUGGAUAGGACAGAAACAGAGAAG
Molecule: long non-coding RNA, 656 nt
Filed under: Coturnix japonica (Japanese quail)
Lineage: Eukaryota; Metazoa; Chordata; Aves; Galliformes; Phasianidae
Description: lncRNA (ENSCJPG00005011128.1)
Source: RNAcentral